UACAGAGGGUGGAAGCGUUAAUCGGAAUUACUGGGCGUAAAGCGCACGUAGGCGGUUUUUUAAGUCAGAUGUGAAAGCCCCGGGCUCAACCUGGGAAUUGCAUUUGAAACUGGGAAACUAGAGUGUGUGAGAGGGGGGUAGAAUUCCAAGUGUAGCGGUGAAAUGCGUAGAGAUUUGGAGGAAUACCAGUGGCGAAGGCGGCCCCCUGGCACAACACUGACGCUCAGGUGCGAAAGCGUGGGGAGCAAACAGG
RNAcentral lists this ribosomal RNA (253 nucleotides) under uncultured bacterium. RNAcentral's name for it is "partial 16S ribosomal RNA". It matches the Rfam family "Bacterial small subunit ribosomal RNA", at positions 524 to 776 of the family's 1533-position model. The record is from RNAcentral.